Molecule: long non-coding RNA, 445 nt
Filed under: Nicotiana benthamiana
Lineage: Eukaryota; Viridiplantae; Streptophyta; Magnoliopsida; Solanales; Solanaceae
Description: long non-coding RNA (NBEN_LNC031968)
Source: RNAcentral
UAUACUUAUGUGAGUAGUAGCAGCAGAAUCUACCCACCAAGUAUCCUUAGGUACCGAAAUUAAAUUAACUUCAAAACAAACAAGAGAAAGAGAUGUACCCUUUUUCACAUGCCAAGCGUGGUACUUGGUACAAUCUUUCUUCAUGUGAUUAGCCCCCUUACAGAAGAAGCAACCUCAUUCUGUAGUUUCAACCUUAGGUUCCUUAUUUUGCUUCUUCUGGGGCCUUGCAACCGCAAUUUCCUUACCUUUCCUCUUCUUAUUAUCUUUAGAAGAGGAUGCCAAAUGAGCACUUUCAGUCUUAUCUUGCUUUAUCCUUUCCUCUCUUGCACACAAUGUUAAAUGAGCUCAUUAAGAGUCCAUUUCUCCUUCAGGCUGUUGUAACUGACCUUCAACUGAUUAAAGUAUGCAGGAAGAGAGAUCAAAACUAAGUACACAAGCAGUUCCU